RNAcentral lists this ribosomal RNA (344 nucleotides) under uncultured bacterium. RNAcentral's name for it is "partial 16S ribosomal RNA". It matches the Rfam family "Bacterial small subunit ribosomal RNA", at positions 338 to 699 of the family's 1533-position model. The record is from RNAcentral.
CCUACGGGUGGCAGCAGUGGGGAAUAUUGCUCAAUGGGGGAAACCCUGUCGCAGCAACGCCGCGUGGAGGAUGAAGGUUUUCGGAUUGUAAACUCCUUUUGUUAGAGAAGAUAAUGACGGUCUCUAACAAAUAAGCACCGGCUAACUCCGUGCCAGCAGCCGCGGUAAUACGGAGGUUGCAAGCGUUACUCGUAAUCACUGGGCGUAAAGAGCGCGUAGGCGGGUUAGCAAGUCAGAUGUGAAAUCCUAUGGCUUAACCAUAGAACUGCAUUUGAAACUGUUAUUCUAGAGUAUGGGAGAGGUAGGCGGAAUUCUUGGUGUAGGGGUAAAAUGCGUAGAGAUCA